Molecule: ribosomal RNA, 21 nt
Filed under: Eimeria acervulina
Lineage: Eukaryota; Apicomplexa; Conoidasida; Eucoccidiorida; Eimeriidae
Also listed under: 6 other names
Description: partial 18S ribosomal RNA
Source: RNAcentral
GAACCUGCGGAAGGAUCAUUC